GAGUAAUGUCUGGGAAACUGCCUGAUGGAGGGGGAUAACUACUGGAAACGGUGGCUAAUACCGCAUAACGUCGCAAGACCAAAGAGGGGGACCUUCGGGCCUCUUGCCAUCAGAUGUGCCCAGAUGGGAUUAGCUUGUUGGUGAGGUAACGGCUCACCAAGGCGACGAUCCCUAGCUGGUCUGAGAGGAUGACCAGCCACACUGGAACUGAGACACGGUCCAGACUCCUACGGGAGGCAGCAGUGGGGAAUAUUGCACAAUGGGCGCAAGCCUGAUGCAGCCAUGCCGCGUGUAUGAAGAAGGCCUUCGGGUUGUAAAGUACUUUCAGCGGGGAGGAAGGUGUUGUGGUUAAUAACCGCAGCAAUUGACGUUACCCGCAGAAGAAGCACCGGCUAACUCCGUGCCAGCAGCCGCGGUAAUACGGAGGGUGCAAGCGUUAAUCGGAAUUACUGGGCGUAAAGCGCACGCAGGCGGUCUGUCAAGUCGGAUGUGAAAUCCCCGGGCUCAACCUGGGAACUGCAUUCGAAACUGGCAGGCUUGAGUCUUGUAGAGGGGGGUAGAAUUCCAGGUGUAGCGGUGAAAUGCGUAGAGAUCUGGAGGAAUACCGGUGGCGAAGGCGGCCCCCUGGACAAAGACUGACGCUCAGGUGCGAAAGCGUGGGGAGCAAACAGGAUUAGAUACCCUGGUAGUCCACGCCGUAAACGAUGUCUACUUGGAGGUUGUGCCCUUGAGGCGUGGCUUCCGGAGCUAACGCGUUAAGUAGACCGCCUGGGGAGUACGGCCGCAAGGUUAAAACUCAAAUGAAUUGACGGGGGCCCGCACAAGCGGUGGAGCAUGUGGUUUAAUUCGAUGCAACGCGAAGAACCUUACCUGGUCUUGACAUCCACGGAAGAAUUCAGAGAUGGAUUUGUGCCUUCGGGAACCGUGAGACAGGUGCUGCAUGGCUGUCGUCAGCUCGUGUUGUGAAAUGUUGGGUUAAGUCCCGCAACGAGCGCAACCCUUAUCCUUUGUUGCCAGCGGUCCGGCCGGGAACUCAAAGGAGACUGCCAGUGAUAAACUGGAGGAAGGUGGGGAUGACGUCAAGUCAUCAUGGCCCUU
Molecule: ribosomal RNA, 1098 nt
Filed under: Salmonella enterica
Lineage: Bacteria; Pseudomonadati; Pseudomonadota; Gammaproteobacteria; Enterobacterales; Enterobacteriaceae
Description: bacterial SSU rRNA
Rfam family: Bacterial small subunit ribosomal RNA
Source: RNAcentral